This 659-nucleotide ribosomal RNA is filed under the name Rhodanobacter sp. Z194_1. Its description in RNAcentral is "bacterial SSU rRNA". It matches the Rfam family "Bacterial small subunit ribosomal RNA", at positions 60 to 708 of the family's 1533-position model. Lineage: Bacteria; Pseudomonadati; Pseudomonadota; Gammaproteobacteria; Lysobacterales; Rhodanobacteraceae. The record is from RNAcentral.
AGUCGAACGGCAGCACAGCAGUAGCAAUACUGUGGGUGGCGAGUGGCGGACGGGUGAGUAAUGCAUCGGGACCUACCCAGACGUGGGGGAUAACGUAGGGAAACUUACGCUAAUACCGCAUACGUCCUACGGGAGAAAGCGGGGGACCUUCGGGCCUCGCGCGUUUGGACGGACCGAUGUUCGAUUAGCUAGUUGGUAAGGUAAUGGCUUACCAAGGCGACGAUCGAUAGCUGGUCUGAGAGGAUGAUCAGCCACACUGGAACUGAGACACGGUCCAGACUCCUACGGGAGGCAGCAGUGGGGAAUAUUGGACAAUGGGCGCAAGCCUGAUCCAGCAAUGCCGCGUGUGUGAAGAAGGCCUUCGGGUUGUAAAGCACUUUUAUCGGGAACGAAAUACCACGGGUUAAUAACCUAUGGGGCUGACGGUACCCGAGGAAUAAGCACCGGCUAACUUCGUGCCAGCAGCCGCGGUAAUACGAAGGGUGCAAGCGUUAAUCGGAAUUACUGGGCGUAAAGGGUGCGUAGGCGGUUAGUUAAGUCUGUCGUGAAAUCCCCGGGCUCAACCUGGGAAUGGCGAUGGAUACUGGCUGGCUAGAGUGUGUCAGAGGAUGGUGGAAUUUCCGGUGUAGCGGUGAAAUGCGUAGAGAUCGGAAGGAACA